This 352-nucleotide ribosomal RNA is filed under the name Hemicrepidius sp. CMB-2012. RNAcentral's name for it is "partial 16S ribosomal RNA". Lineage: Eukaryota; Metazoa; Arthropoda; Insecta; Coleoptera; Elateridae. The record is from RNAcentral.
UGAAUGAUUGGACGAGANAUAGCUGUCUCUAGAUAAUUUAUUUUUGAAUUUUACUUUUGAGUUAAAAGGCUAAAAUUUCUUUUAAAGACGAGAAGACCCUAUAGAGUUUUAUAUAUUUAUUGAUUAUGAGUUUUUAGUUAUUUUAUUUUUUAAUUAAUUUAUAUAUUUAGUUGGGGUGACUUAAAGAUUAAUAAAACUCUUUAAAAAUUUUUAAUCAUUGAUUUAUGAUUUUUUAAUCUAGGUUUUCUAAAUUUAAAAUAAAUUACCUUAGGGAUAACAGCGUAAUUUCUUUUUAGAGUUCUUAUUGAAAGAGAAGUUUGCGACCUCNAUGUUGAUUUAAAUUGCCGCGGUA